ACCCUCUGGUAUUGAUGAAUAUAAAAGAAUUAAAUGUGACUGAGGUUUUGAAAAUUAAAAAAUCUUUUUAAAUGAGUAUUGAUUGUUCCUAUAUAUGCAAUUACUAGAAGCUGGAUUGUGGAGUAUAAUGCCAUUACUAGAAGCUUAUUGGCAUAUGGAAAAAACUAGAGAGUAUUUAUGCUUCUAGACCCAUGACUAAUCGUUUUCUUUUGAAGUUAGAUUUGUACUCUUGAGGAUGGAUGAAGGAAUGGGUAUACACAAGAGUUAAAAGGUUGACAACACAAGUAGUCAAUAUUAGAAAAAACAAAAUUGGGGAAAAAGAGCGAAACCUCAUUCUACAAGCCAUUGGUGCAAACAAUACUAGUUAAAAGGAUAACUUUAGGUUUAAUCUUACUAGAUAGAAUAAAAGGUUUUGAAAGGUAACGAGGCAUUGGUGAUGGAAGGUAAUCUAGGAAAUAAAAUUAUGAUUGUCAUGGGAGGAACAUGGCAUAAAGAGGUAGAUUUGGUAUAAAAAACUCUAUUUGAGAUUCUAGAUCUAGAGUGGAAUACAAUAUUAAUAUUUUUAUUGUCAUUGCAAAAUACUAGUUAAAAGGAUAACUUUAGGUUUAAAUGAUACAACUAUAAUUUUAUUGGAGAAUGAUAGGUUUUGAAAAUAGAAAACAAUGUCAAAAGGUAACGAGGCAUUGGUUAUGGGAGGUGGUCCUGUAAUUUACCAUGAAAGAUGGGAGCAAAGUGUUGAAUAUUAAACUCAAUCCAGAAGCUCCCAGAAGGUCAAGGAAGACAACCAGCCACCAGCCACCAGUCGCCGACCAGCCGCCAGCCGCCUUCACACUUGAAGGUUGAAUUUUCUAGUUUUUGAUUUCGUGUAUAAAUAGAGUGCCUAGCUUCUGUUAAUGUGUGUGGAGAGAAUUGAGAGCAAACACUAGAAAGAGAAAUAGAGAGAGAGAGGGCAUGUACUGUUAAGCUUUUGUUAAUUAAUUGUAAGCUUGUGUUUUUGUAACAAAACUUUGUGUUUUAUCCCCUCUGAGUGUUUCAAAGUCACCACCAGUGGUUUCUCCCAUGCACCAACAAUUAGUAUCAGAGCCCCGUUCGUCAGAAAACAGAAGUGUUUUGGGGUACAUCCGAAUUUUCAAAGUUGUCAAAAACAAGUUUUGAUCAUUCCACAGUGAAGAGCUCAUCAAUACGAACUCACUGUCGCAAGAAUCAGCCUUAUCGGAGUCCGCGGUGAUCCACACGCGCCGCCUGAAGAUCCGGUGACUGUAUCCCAUGCGCAUCCACGCGCGCCAUAUUUGAGCCGCGCCGAGCCCGAGCCGCGCCGCAAGCCGAGCCGUCCUCCGCACCGAGAGAAUAUUCCCCAAAAUAUUCCCCGAAUAUUCCUGGUUCAACCUAGCGAACCGCCCGCCGUACAGAAUUGGUUUUUUGACCGGUUCACCCAUUUUCUGACCCGAAUUCAACAAAGUCAGACCGGUUCCCUGCUAUUUGGAUCAUUCCAGAUCGAUCUACAAUGUCCGUUUGGCCAAAUUCGGCUCCUAGAAAGGUGAUAUAAUCAUUCAAAGAGCAAAAUGACUACAGAAGAUACACAUACACUCAUUCCAAAGCUGACCAAAGACAACUAUGAUAGUUGGUGCAUCAGAUUGAAGGCAUUCCUUGGGUCACAAGAGUGUUUGGAUAUUGUACAAACUGGUUAUGAUGAAUCAGAGUCCAAAGAAAGAGAAGAUGUUUUAUAAGAGGCACAAAAGCAAGCUCUUAAAGUCAACAGAAAGAAAGACAACAAAGCAAAGACCAUCAUCUAUCAGGGUCUUGAUGAAGACACAUUCGAGAUCAUAGCUUCCGCUGAAACAUCACAUGAUAUAUGGAGGCUCUCCAACAGAAAUACAAAGGUGCUGACAGAAUUAAAAAAAUUCGUCUUCAAUCUUUGCGAGGUGAAUUUGAGUUAUUGCAAAUGAAGUCCUCGGAGUCUAUUUCUGAUUAUCGCACAAGGAUUAUGGUGAUAGUCAACCAGAUGAGGAGAAAUGGAGAAGCCAUCGUCGAUUCUCGAAUUACUGAGAAAAUUUUGAGAUCGCUAGAUCCAAAAUUCGAUUUUGUUGUUGUCGCAAUUGAAGAAUCUAAAGAAGUGGACAAGUUGACAGUUGAUGAACUUAUGAGUUCUUUGCAAGCUCAUGAGCAGAAAAUUGUAAAGGGAAAUGGAGAUAAGGCAAUUGAGCAUGCCUUACAAGCAAAGCUGUCUCUCAAGGACAAAUAUGAGCAAGGGGAGACUUCAACAAAUGGAUAUACCACUCAAGCAGGAAGUCAACAAUCCAGAGGAGGAUUCCAGAGAUUCCAAGGAAGAGGUUCUUGGAAUACAAGCUUUAGAGGAAGAGGUGGCAGAAACAUCAUUAGAGGAGAUCGAGGACAACAAGCAUUCAAUCCUAGAGGAAGAGGGGGCGAUUACAAUAACCAUGACAAGAGGAAUAUCCAAUGUUAUAGUUGCAAUCAAUUUGGGCACUAUAGCACUGAAUGCAGAAGGAAAGCUCUAUUGGAGAUACGUGAGCAAGCCAACUAUGCAGAGAAGGAUGACAGAGAAGAAGCUGCAUUUCUUGUCCAACAAGAACAAAAUUAAGAUAAGGAAAUGAAAUAUUAUAGUUUUACAAUAAUAUAAUUGUUUUUUGCAUUAUACUUACCUAAUUACAAUGUGGUUUUCCCACACAUUUCUUACAACCCCCUCAUUUUCCUUGUCCUGGUAAUUUUUUUUCCUUGUAGUCAAACAUUAGUUAUUUUUAAAAAAAUUUUAAAAACUAUAUAUUAACUCAAUGUAUAUAUUAUUUAUUUAACCAUUAACUUUUCCCAAAAACAUCUACUAUAAUCAUACAUUUAGAAUGAUCUUAAAGUUGACUCUAUUAAAACAAUGGUUUUUCAAAAACAAAUUUAAGAUUAAUUGUAUUAAAGAGAAAAACUAUAAAAAAAAAACACAAAAAGUGUACCUAAGAUGUACAUCAUCUUGUAACCCAAAUCAAAUUGACCUUAGACAAUAGGGAAAAAAACAAAAGCUAAAAAAAAUUAAAAAUUUCUGAAAACAAGACUGCUUGAAUAAUAGCAUAGAAAAUCAAUUCAUCAAAAUCAUUUAAUGUAAAACUUAAAAUAAUCUAUUACAAAUAAAUAACUUCAAUGGUAAGAGAAAAAACAUGACUUACAUUGUGUCGUUGGCUUUUUAUGUUGCAAUAAGUUUUCUUGAUACAGGGUCUCUAGAAGAAGGGAUUCUACCUUUUUUGUUUGUGAAAUUCAUUGUUGUAAAUGAGAUCAUUGCAUAAUUAGUUGGCAUCAAAGGACAUAAUAAUCUCUCUCUUUGUAUGAUUAAUAGAAAUGAUACUGUGAAUCUGUAAAUUAUGCCAAAAACGCUUUAUUCUGUUUCUAAAGGACUCGAGGCUAUUGCUCUAAGAGUUGAAGUGCCUAUGUUCAAAAUCAUUUUAAAAUUACCUGCAUUAUUGCAUUUUUGUUCCACUAGAAAUUGUUUCUGAUGUUUUUGACAUCUACAAAUACUGCAAGGUCCUAUCCUGGUACUACUACAUCUGCUUGGUGUGGCCUUGUUAAGUUAACUGGGUAUUUGCAUAAUGUUUCCAGGCUGAUGCUUUUGAAAGCCAGCGUGGACAAUGCAUUGAUAUCACCUGGAAAGUGAUAAUUUAUUUAAAUAAAACAGACUUUACCAAGGUGAUGGAAACAAUGCUAUACUGCCCUGACAAAUAAAUGUAUAAAUGACAUGCGAGAGUUAAACUGGUUUUGCUUACACCAUUGUGCAUAGAACUGCUUAUUUCCUUUUCUGAAGAAUGUUCUUUGUACGCUUAAUUGAACUAGUCUCUUUAAGUGUUCAAUGGUUCUCACCAACCAUUUGUCAAAGAAAUAAAGAAGUCUGUUAAUUUUAUUGGUUUGCCAUUCCAACAGGGGCUGGAUCCCCUUUAAAUUGUGCAUGCAACUUGUUAGCAAACCUCUUAUUUUGGUAGGCAGAGUUUAUCCGUGUUGUGACUUCAGAUAAUAACAAUGACUGAUUUGGUCAAUCUCUCAAAAAGUUUUCUGUAUUCCCGAGAGUAAUAAUCCUAAUCAUCAUUUUAGGUUAGUUGACAGAAUAUCUUUCUUGGUUAUUUCUUAGUUCAUAUGAACCAAACCUGCCUCAUUCCUCCCCUCAUGCGAGGUAGUUAAGUAGUGUAUGAGCCCUAGUACUGGUUUCAAGAUAUGACUUAUCACUGUGUAUAUGUCUGUAGUUAGUUUAGCUGAGAGUUCAAACAAGUGUUUAUGGUGUUAAACGUUUUUCAAUCAUAAAUUGUUUUGCAGAUAUAAUUGAUGAAUUGGUGAAGAAUGGGAAAGAGAUAAGGCUGUAUAUUUUGCUUCUGAAUCUGGUUUGACGAAAAGAUUUUCUCCUGUAUCUCUACUCAAGUCAUAUCUUAAGAAUUCCAAGAAGAUCACAACUACUGUCUUGAAGAAUGGCAAUUAUAGUGUAGCUGCAACGGUGUGUCUAAUCUCUAUCUACAUUGUGUAAUUCUAAUGACAUGAAAUAUUUGAGUCUUAUUAAUUUUUUUGCAGGAUGAGUCAAGUACCUUGGAGUUGAAUUCUAUUAAAGCAAUCAUCAAAUGUGUGGAAGAUCAUAAGCUUGAAUCAGAAUUUUCCCUUGACAGCUUGAGAAAACGGGCUUCUCUGCUUGAAAAAACCAAAGCAGAGAGGAAGAGGGGUACAUCAUCAGCUGCCACUGCUACCAAGUCUCAAAACAAGCGAGGCCAUGGUUCAAGUGGUGGCCGGGACAGUGGACCUACUCCUUAUCGUCAAGCCAAAGCUGCCAAAUUUUCAAACAAUUAUUCCUCUUUCAGCCGCAGGAAUGCUCCUCUCCCUGCACAGCAUAGCCCGGCUAGAAGAUAUUCAGGGCCAUUCCACUACCCUAGCCAGAGUGUCUACGAGGGCCCCGCAGCAGCCCCGUAUGCAUCAACUUAUGGUAUCUCGCACGCUCAAAGCCCUUCUGCAAUCUCUCAACAACCCUACCAUCACUCUCAAAGCCCCAGUGCAAUUCCUCAACAACUCUACUCACAGCCAGCGGAGAACAUGAGUGCUGCCGGUUUCCGUGCCAGUGGUUCUUAUGGAAGCCAGACCGGGUUACGGGGCAUAUGAUUACGGCUCUGCUGCACCCGUUACUUACCAACCUUCAUCCUACACUCAAUAAGAUGGGAGGAACCUAGCCAGGUGUUAAGAUUCUUAUUUUUAUUUGGUGUCUGAUUUCUGGAUGUGGCCCUCUAAUUUUGGGACCCGCCCCCUUCAUCUCCCUUUCCCGUAUAAAAGUUUUUUUUUGGUCUUAUCUCAUGACUGGAUAUGAUGCCCAUGCCUGUAACGCUGAUUACCUUUAUAUGGAGCUCAAGCUGGAUGUGAUUUCCGUGCUGUGAGUUUUAAAUGGUUUGGCUAUCGAGCAUUGUGAUUACUCUCAUGAUUGGAGUCGCCAUUGGGCGCCUAUGCUUGUUUUUUUGCUAAAUUUUGGCAUGCCUAAUAGACUAAUUUGUUAAAUCACAACAAUUUAGUAAUCAUGCUAAAAAUCCAAUUUAGUAAGAACAUGGCUAUGAUGGGUAACAAUUAGCUAGCCCUUGUAAUUGAUAGACGUCAUUCUUUUGGCCACGAGAGGUCUGAAAAUAACUCACAAACAUUCAGACCAAUGGAGAAGCUUGUAUUACAUGUUCUAUAAAAUGGUUAUUCAUCAUCUAAUUCUUUAUAUAAACAAAUAACUACACAUGAAUAGAACAAUAAUGUUCCCUUAUAGUUUAUAAUAUUGCCACCUUUGUGAGUAUCAUUACCUUUGUGAAUAUCAUUUUGCCUCUACCAUCACAACCUCACAGUUAAUUUUUUUUUUCAUCAUUCAAUUUUUUUUUAAAAUUAGUCUUAUAAUUUGUUUUUUCAAUUCAGCUAUCCCCGAUUUCAUUACCAGAACUACAUGUUUGAUGAAUUUUUUUUGGGUCGCUGUUUUUUUAUUUAAAAUUUUAUUAGUUUCAUCCUUGAACAUUUGGUUCCUUUAGAAUUGAUUAUUGUAAUCAUUCUAAAGACAUGCAUAAAUUGUUUUAAGGCCUUAAAGUGCAUCUUCAUUCAUCUCAGAAACUGAAAAAAUAAAAAAAAAUCAAAUAAAAGAAACCUAAUUAUUUUUCCUGGCCUUGAUCUCUUUUUCUUUGUCCUUCUAGGGUGGUGUAAUCACCAUCAACAAAAUGGCCUUUUAAGGAAGAAGGGGACACUGGACACCAUUAUAGCAGGUUGCAAUGUCAGGAUCUAGAGGAAAGUUUCUCUCCUCGCCUAUCUCUCCUCGGUCCUGUCUCCGAUCUUUACAUACAGGGACUGAAUUUUAAAAAUAGUGUGUUUGUUUUUUAAAUAGGUUUUGUGGUUUUGAUUUUAAAAAAAUAAAUUUAAAAAAAGUGUGGUUAACUAUGAUUAGUUAAAUUUAAAUACGUGUUUAGUAAAAAUUAUAGUUGAAGUUUAUGUGUAACAAAAAUAAUGUAUAAAAUAUUUGGUGGAAGUAUAGUUGCCGUUGUUUUUUAAAGUGUUUUUUACUUGGAAAUGUAUCAAAAUAAUUUUUUUAAAAAAAUUAUUUUUGAUAUCAGCAUUGAUUUGAAAACAAAAAAAAUAUAUCAAUUUGAAGCAAAGAAAAAAAUAAAAAAAUUUAUUUUUUUCAAAAGCGCUUUUGAAACAUAAAAAUAAAUAGGGUUUUAUGAAACUCAAUUAAAAAAUCAUGUAAAAACUACUACAUAAAAAUUACGUUUCAAACUCAACUUUUUAGUAAGUCCCGCAUUACAAACCAAAGUUUAGUUUGUUAAUUACCAAACACUUUGCCAUGUUUGUUUCACCACAAACAAAAAACCAGUGAAGAAAUCCUAAAUAUCUAAAUAAUUUAUACAUGUUUUUUACUACACAUAACCUUUAACUAUAAUUUUUAUUAAACACAUAUUUAAAUUCAAUUAAUUACAAUUGACUCUAUUUAAAAAAAAAAACUUAUUUUUUUAAAUUAAAAUCUCAAAAACUAUCUAAAAAAUAAAGAAACGAGUGAGGAUGUUGAUGAUGCCAAGCAAGUCAGUGUAAAGUGGAAAUCUUGACAAGAUGUUGUAGCCUUCAUAAAAAGUACAAUGCAGUACAAAACGAGAGGUGAAUGUUUGAGAUUGUUAUAAUUUUUAAUUUUAUAUGAUUUUUAAAAGUAUAUUUUAUUUUAAAAAUAUAUUAAAUUAAUAUUUUUUUAAUAAUUUUUUCUAAAACAUAUUUUUCUAAAACAUAUUUUUAAAAAUAAUUUCCAUCACAACACUAAAAACAUAUAAAUAUUUAUCAUAGUAACAAGAAGUGAUAAUAUUUGAUGUAAAAACGGCUGAAUGUAUAUGUCAUGUUUCGAGAAGCGUCCAUGAUUAUAUCAUUAUGAUCCCAAAAAGAAAAAUAUUAAAUAUUAGGCUACAAUUAUUUAUAUACAGUUUUAAAACCUGGACCGGCCCGGCAGGUCAACUCGGGCCGAGACCGGUCCAGGUAGAGGCAAAAAUCUACUUGGAAAUUGACUCGGUAAAACCCGGUCGAUCUGCCGGGUUGACCCCGUGACCUGGACCACCCGGUCAAACCCGGCUGACACAUGAUCUCUCUUUCUCUCUUUCUCUAUAUAUAUAUAUAGACGUUAAACGACGUCGUUUUGGCCUUAAAAGGCCAAAACGAUGAACAAUGACGAAGCAGAAUUGGGGACACAUUGAUUACAGAGCAAACCCAAUUAACGAAAGAUUCCAUCACAGCCAAUGCAACUACAGUCUGGUCUAUAAGCUUUUGGCUUUCUUCUUUGCUCUUGCCAAUUAGGAUUUUUGCGUUUCGAGUGAUCGAUUUGCCCAUCAAAGUUGAAGUGAAGGGAGUGAGUUGGUUACAGAGAGAACUCCAUUCUAGGAUUUUAAGGGUUUUGAGUUGGAGUGAGCGAGCUGGAGGAGUGAGUUUCGGUGAGUGUGAAUCAAAGGGUUUUGUUAGGGCUUUGGUGGAGAAGGGUGGUUUGGUGGUGAAGAAGAGAAUCGGGGAUUUUUUAAUGGCUAUUAAAUGAUUGGAGAGUUUGAUUAAUGAAGGAUUUUUGAGGGAGAGAAGGAAAGGGAUGGGCUGUUUGACAACAACUUAUCCUUUUUAUUUUCAGCUUAUCUUUUAUUUUAGGUUGACUUGUUUUUAGGUUGACUCGUGUCAAUCAAUCUAACUCGUGAUUCGAUCACUUGACUAGAUUGAUAUCCGGAUCGAUUUUUAAAAUUAUGAUUUCUAUAAUUAGGUUACAUUUCGUUAUAGUCAUGUAUUUGAAAAAAUAUUUAGUUAAUAAAUAUAUAUAUAUAUAUAUAUAUAUAUAUAUGUUUUACUAAAAAUUAUUUUAAAAUUUUAAUUAAAAUAUAAUAUAUUUUAUAACUUUUUUUAAAAUGUAUUUUUUAAAAUCACAUAUCUAUCACAAAGAAAGAUCUUUUCAUACAUCCCAACUUUAGGCUAGAAGAUAUUCAGGGCCAUUCCACUACCCUAGCCAGAGUGUCUACGAGGGCCCCGCAGCAGCCCCGUAUGCAUCAACUUAUGGUAUCUCGCACGCUCAAAGCCCUUCUGCAAUCUCUCAACAACCCUACCAUCACUCUCAAAGCCCCAGUGCAAUUCCUCAACAACUCACUCACAGCCAGCGGAGACAUGAGUGCUGCCGGUUUCCGUGCCAGUGGUUCUUAUGGAAGCCAGACCGGUUACGGGGCAUAUGAUUACGGCUCUGCUGCACCCGUUACUUACCAACCUUCAUCCUACACUCAAUAAGAUGGGAGGAACCUAGCCAGGUGUUAAGAUUCUUAUUUUAUUUGGUGUCUGAUUUCUGGAUGUGGCCCUCUAAUUUUGGGACCCGCCCCCUUCAUCUCCCUUUCCCGUAUAAAAGUUUUUUUUUGGUCUUAUCUCAUGACUGGAUAUGAUGCCCAUGCCUGUAACGCUGAUUACCUUUAUAUGGAGCUCAAGCUGGAUGUGAUUUCCGUGCUGUGAGUUUUAAAUGGUUUGGCUAUCGAGCAUUGUGAUUACUCUCAUGAUUGGAGUCGCCAUUGGGCGCCUAUGCUUGUUUUUUUGCUAAAUUUUGGCAUGCCUAAUAGACUAAUUUGUUAAAUCACAACAAUUUAGUAAUCAUGCUAAAAAUCCAAUUUAGUAAGAACAUGGCUAUGAUGGGUAACAAUUAGCUAGCCCUUGUAAUUGAUAGACGUCAUUCUUUUGGCCACGAGAGGUCUGAAAAUAACUCACAAACAUUCAGACCAAUGGAGAAGCUUGUAUUACAUGUUCUAUAAAAUGGUUAUUCAUCAUCUAAUUCUUUAUAUAAACAAAUAACUACACAUGAAUAGAACAAUAAUGUUCCCUUAUAGUUUAUAAUAUUGCCACCUUUGUGAGUAUCAUUACCUUUGUGAAUAUCAUUUUGCCUCUACCAUCACAACCUCACAGUUAAUUUUUUUUUUCAUCAUUCAAUUUUUUUUUAAAAUUAGUCUUUAUAAUUUUGUUUUUCAAUUCAGCUAUCCCGAUUUCAUUACCAGAACUACAUGUUUGAUGAAUUUUUUUUUGGGUCGCUGUUUUUUUUAUUUAAAAUUUUAUUAGUUUCAUCCUUGAACAUUUGGUUCCUUUAGAAUUGAUUAUUGUAAUCAUUCUAAAGACAUGCAUAAAUUGUUUUAAGGCCUUAAAGUGCAUCUUCAUUCAUCUCAGAAACUGAAAAAAUAAAAAAAAAUCAAAUAAAAGAAACCUAAUUAUUUUUCCUGGCCUUGAUCUCUUUUUCUUUGUCCUUCUAGGGUGGUGUAAUCACCAUCAACAAAAUGGCCUUUUAAGGAAGAAGGGGACACUGGACACCAUUAUAGCAGGUUGCAAUGUCAGGAUCUAGAGGAAAGUUUCUCUCCUCGCCUAUCUCUCCUCGGUCCUGUCUCCGAUCUUUACAUACAGGGACUGAAUUUUAAAAAUAGUGUGUUUGUUUUUUAAAUAGGUUUUGUGGUUUUGAUUUAAAAAAAUAAGUUUAGAAAAAGGUGUGGUUAACUAUGAUUAGUUAAAUUUAAAUACAUGUUUAGUAAAAAUUAUAGUUGAAGUUUAUGUGUAACAAAAAUAAUAUAUAAAAUAUUUGGUGGAAGUGUUGGUUGUUUGUUUUUUACUUGGAAAUACAUCAAAAUAAUUUUUUUUUAAUUAUUUUUUAUAUCAGCAUUGAUUUGAAAACAAAAAAUAUAUCAAUUUGAAGCAAGGAAAAAAAUAAAAAAAUUUAUUUUUUUCAAAAGCGUUUUGAAACGUAAAAAUAAAUAGGGUUUUAUGAACUCAAUUAAAAAAUCAUGUAAAAAUACUACAUAAAAAUUGCGUUUCAAACUCAAUUUUUUAUAAGUCCCGCAUUACAAACCAAGUUUGGUUUGUUAAUUACCAAACACUUUGCCAUGUUUGUUUCACCGCAAACAAAAAACCAGUGAAAAAAUCUAAAUAUCUAAAUAAUUUAUACAUGUUUUUUACUACACAUAAAAUUUAACUAUAAUUUUUAUUAAAUACAUAUUUAAAUUCAAUUAAUUACAAUUGACUCUAUUUAAAAAAAACUUAUUUUUUUAAAUUAAAAUCUCAAAAACUAUCUAAAAAAUAAAGAAACGAGUGAGGAUGUUGAUGAUGCCAAGCAAGUCAGUGUAAAGUGGAAAUCUUGACAAGAUGUUGUAGUCUUCAUAAAAAGUACAAUGCAGUACAAAACGAGAGGUGAAUGUUUGAGAUUGUUAUAAUUUUUAAUUUUAUAUGAUUUUUAAAAGUAUAUUUUAUUUUAAAAAUAUAUUAAAUUAAUAUUUUUUUAAUAAUUUUUUAUAAAACAUAUUUUUAAAAAUAAUUUCCAUCACAACACUAAAAACAUAUAAAUAUUUAUCAUAGUAACAAGAAGUGAUAAUAUUUGAUGUAAAAACGGCUGAAUGUAUAUGUCAUGUUUCGAGAAGCGUCCAUGAUUAUAUCAUUAUGAUCCCAAAAAGAAAAAUAUUAAAUAUUAGGCUACAAUAUUUAUCAUAAUUUUAAAACUCGGACCGGCCCGCAGGUCGACUCGGGUCUGGAACCGGUCCAAGUGGAGGCAAAAAUCCACUUGGAAAUUGACUCGGUGAAACCUGGUCGAUCUGCGGGUCGACCCGUGACCCGGAUCACCCGGUCAAACCCGGCUGACACUUGACUCUCUCUCUUAUAUAUAUAUAUAUAUAUAGACGUUAAAAGACCGUUUUGGCCUUUUAAAAGGCCAAAACGAUUAACAAUGACGAAGCAGAAUUGGGACACAUUGAUUACAGAGCAAACCCAAAUAACGAAAGAUUCCAUCACAGCCAAUGCAACUACAGUCUGGUCUAUAAGCUUUUGGCUUUCUUCUUUGCUCUUGCCAAUUAGGAUUUUUGCGUUUCGAGUGAUCGAUUUGCCCAUCAAAGUUGAAGUGAAGGGAGUGAGUUGGUUACAGAGAGAACUCCAUUCUAGGAUUUUAAGGGUUUUGAGUUGGAGUGAGCGAGCUGGAGGAGUGAGUUUCGGUGAGUGUGAAUCAAAGGGUUUUGUUAGGGCUUUGGUGGAGAAGGGUGGUUUGGUGGUGAAGAAGAGAAUCGGGGAUUUUUUAAUGGAUAAAUGAUUGGAGAGUUUCAUUAAUGAAGGAUUUUUGAGGGAGAGAAGGAAAGGGAUGGCUGUUUGGACUUAUCCUUAUUUCAGCUUAUUUUUUUUUUAGAGUUUAUGCCGUGUCAAUCAUCUGACUCGUGAUCCGAUCACUUGACUAGAUUGAUAUCCGGAUCGGGUUUCAAAACUAUGAUUUCUAUAAUUAGGUUACAUUUCGUUAUAGUCAUGUAUUUGAAAAAUAUUUAGUAUUAUAUAUAUAUAUAUAUAUAUAUAUAUAUGUUUUACUAAAAAUUAUUUUAAAAUUUUAAUUAAAAUAUAAUAUAUUUUAUAACUUUUUUUAAAAUGUAUUUUUUAAAAUCACAUAUCUAUCACAAAGAAAGAUCUUUUCAUACAUCCCAACUUUAGGCUAGAAGAUAUUCAGGGCCAUUCCACUACCCUAGCCAGAGUGUCUACGAGGGCCCCGCAGCAGCCCCGUAUGCAUCAACUUAUGGUAUCUCGCACGCUCAAAGCCCUUCUGCAAUCUCUCAACAACCCUACCAUCACUCUCAAAGCCCCAGUGCAAUUCCUCAACAACUCUACUCACAGCCAGCGGAGAACAUGAGUGCUGCCGGUUUCCGUGCCAGUGGUUCUUAUGGAAGCCAGACCGGUUACGGGGCAUAUGAUUACGGCUCUGCUGCACCCGUUACUUACCAACCUUCAUCCUACACUCAAUAAGAUGGGAGAAACCUAGCCAGAUGUUAAGAUGAAGACAAAGAUCUGGUGCUCGAUUGAUGUUCAAUUUUAUCAAAUUAUGUUUAAAUUAAGUUGAUUUAAAGCAAUUAGGCCUUAAGGAAUCAAAUUUGAUUAUGAAACAAAUAUGGGAGACUGAAAUUAAUGGGUAUAGUUAAAAAGACACAGUAGCUGUGGCAGCGUAUGCAAUCUUUUCUAGCGGCCAACUCACCCUUCCAUGGUAGCGAUCGAUGCAUCUUAGAAUUCUUUUUCUGCAAUGGUAACACAUGUGUCGCCUAAUUUUUGGUUAUUUUUAUUUUAAUUAUUUUAUUUACCGAAAAGGAUAAAAUGAUGAUAAAAAAAAUAAUAAUGAUGAAAAACAAGUAAAAUAAAGAAUAAAUUAAAAUUUAGGUUAAGGACAACAUGAUGGAAAGUUUUGGGGUUUAAUUAAACUUUGGAAUUAAUCUAAUUAAUCCAAUCAAGGGCUUAAUUGGAGAAUUGAUAAGUUUUAAGACUUAAUUGAGCUUGAAAUUAAUUUAAUUAAUCCAAUCAAUGUUUUAAUUGGAGAAUUGAUAAGUUUUUGGACUUAAUUGAGCUUGGAAUUAAUUUAAUGAAUGAAAUCAAGGACGUAAUUGAAGAAAUAUCAAAGUUUGGGGUUAAUUGGGGUACAAUUUGCAAGAAAUGAAAACGCAAGGACCAAUGUGUAAAUUGCAAUGAGAUGCAGGGGUUCAAUUAAAAUUUACCCAACGACUGGACUGCUAAAAUUCAAAAUGACAAGGAUCAAAAUGCAAUUAGCCAUGUCCAUCAACACUAUUCAUCUUUUCCUUCACUCGCCCGAACAAAAACGGAUGCAUCGCCAUUACUCCUGCAAUAACAGUCAAUUUAUUACCUGGUAACGGUGGCAUUCUGUGGCUAUAAAGCCAGAGAGAACAAAGGGGCUAGAGAAGGGGGAACCGAAAAGCCACUGGUGAUCAUAGAACCGAAAAGCCACUGGUGAUCAUAGAACCGUGAGCAGCAGUGGAAGAUCUUCAUCCCCAGCAGCUUCCUCCAUUUCAAGCAGCUCCUCGCCACGGUUAGUCUCCACCCCAACACCAGAUACUCCAAGAUCAGCCACCGUGGGUAGUGUUGCCACCAAUCACCUCACACAGCAUCGUGAACUCCAACAGCAAGGCAACUGUCAGCAGCCUUGCAACAACCAGCAUCUCCCUUCUGCACCGUGAGCUUCAAUCACUCCACCAGCAUCACUAGUUCCAUCGUGACUAGCAUCACCAGCAGCUUAUCUCAGCAAAUCAGUAGCUCAUCACGGUGGCGACUGAUUUUUGAAGAGAGGCUGAAGCGUUCCUCAGCAACUCUUCUAGACAGGGAGGAGAAGAACCCCCAUCUCUUUUGUUCAGACCUCCAUCACCAUCAACCAUCGCCUUUCAUCUUCCAACAAAUAGCGUAAGCAGCAGCACAGGAAGGGAGGACUAGAGAAGACGCAGAACAACAGAAACAGAGGGGGAAACAGUAGCAGUCGGGCAAGCCUCCGUCACCAUCGACAUCGUCUUCGCCUUCACCUCGCAGCUGCGCCACCCCAGCAGCUCUUCCUCACCGUGACAUCCAGCAGUCUUCCCUUGAAGCAGCCGUCUCCCUCAGCCUUGCCAGGUAAGUUCUUCAGCUUUCCUUCUUUUGGUAAAUUAAUUACCUGUUACUGUUGCAUGCAUGCGUGAGUGAUUCACGCAUGCAUGCAACAGUGGCAGCCGGGUCACUGGUUUGGACCAGUGACCCGAACUUUUUUUUUUUUUUUUACCAUGCAACAUCAAUAAACAGAAAAAUAAAAAAAAUAGAAAAAAUAAAAAAUGUGUAUGCAUGAAUAAAAAUAAUGUAAAUUUAUUGGUUUAUUCACUGAAACCAGAGUCAGGAAUAAAAAUACCGGUUUAAAUAUAUAUUAUUUUUAUUCGUUGUAUUUUUAUUUUAUUUAGCUAGAAAAAUAACAAAUAUGUGCAUGAAUAAAAAUAAAUUUAUUUUUAUUUAUUUAUUCACUGGCACUAAAAUAGGGAAUAAAAAAAUAUUGAUUUUUUUUUUCAUAGCUAUGAAUUUUUACCAACGCCAGAGUUGGAAUUAUUCGAGCUCGAAUAUUCACUGGCGUCAGAGUCAGGAAUAUUAUAAAACAAAUCAUCAUAGCAUAAACUAAUAAAUAUUUAGCAAUUUAAGACAUAAACCAGCAAUGCAGUCUGUCUUAGGCAGAACGUUUAAAGGGUGAUAAUAUCUUCCCUUUUAAGUAACUAAUCCCGAGCCAUAGAAUCUCUGUUGACCAGUUAGGGUUCCUAGUAACCAUAAUACUAGGUGACGACUCCUUAAACAAGAUAUUUUCUUUAAAAGAACCGGAUGCCAGAAAUCUGUUCUUUUUCCAUAAUUCAAGAGAAUUAUUUUGAGGGCCGAUGCGAUGUCGGGUGCGACAACAUGUAUUCUUAUUCUUAGUGUUGUGUUGUUGGUGUUAUUUAUUUUAUUUUUUUCCAUAUUUUCCCUCUUUUCUCUUUAAAAUUCAUGAUAGCCAUUUCAAAGUUCAUAGUUGUCUCCUUAUUUUAGUAUUAUUUCAAAUGCAAUCCUUUUUUUAUUACUAAGUUUUUGUUCUAGAUCUUUUUCUAAAAUGUAAAAUUAUUUUCAAUUUUAUCAUUCAAUAAAAAAUUAUAAGUUGUCCUUUCAAUUCAUUUUUAAAAUUUGGUCCAUAUUUUUUUAAUUCCUAUUUUUAGUUUUUGAUCCUAUAGUGAAAUUAAAUUUUCCUUCCAUUUUCAUCAUCUAAUUUGUUUUUAUUUCUAAUUCUAUUCUUAUUCUUUUGGUUUUUUUUUAGAGCCUUUUGUAAAAUUAAAUUUUUUAAAUUAAUUUUUCAGCAUGAGGUUAUUUAAGAAUUGGAUUCCAUGUGUUUUUAUUGAUGGGAUGAUUCAUGACAUGGACCAAGUCAUAUAUUUAAAAAAUUGACCCGGGUUAACAUUGUUCUUUUAUUUAUUGAGUUUUAUUUUUUUUAUACACGUUUUAUUUUUUAUUUUCAUCCUUUAAUUUUUUUUUAAUUGAGCUUUAUGAUUUUUUUUUUAAUUUUCUUUCAAUCAUGUUAUCCUUAUUCAUCUCAGAAACUGAAAAAAAAAAAAAUAAAUGAAACCUAAUUAUUUUUCGUGGCCUUGAUCUCUUUUUCUUUGUCUUUCUAGGGUGCUGUAAUCACCAUCAACAAAGUGGCCUUUUAAGGAAGAAGUGGCUCAAAUUGUUUCUAUAGUUGGGUUACAUUUUAAUAUAGUCAUGUAUUUGAAAAAGUAUUUAGUUAAUUAAUAUUUAUUACAUAUAUAUAUAUAUACACACACAUUACUAAAAAUUAUUUUAAAAUUUUAAUUAAAAUAUAAUAUAAUUUAUAAAUCCCAACUUUCGCAAGAAUAGUAAUCAUGAGUCCUGACAUGUCCUCUUCCUUGUUGAAUUCUACGGGCUUCGAAUGUCAUGUUCAUGCCGAUUUACUAGGGUAUUUCUUUAUGCAUGCAUGCAAAAUAAUAUAAUAAUUAAUUAUUAGUUGAUAGAGGCUGAUAAAUAAAUAAAAAUAUAUAGUUUAUUGAGUUUCCAAAACAAAAUAAUCGCAUCAUGCAUGUGGUCUUCAACCAAAUCUACUACUGUUUGCAAAAAUAGUGUUCAUGUAGAUUAAUAAGGCCAUGUUUGUUUCUCGGAAAGUAGUUUUUAGAAAAUUAUUUUCCAAACUUUCUUGUGUUUGUUUGUCAUUAGAAAAGUUGGUCAACGGAAAACACUUUCCAGUAAAAAAAAAAUUUUAACUUGGUUUUCAGGAAAGUAUUUUCCUUUUAGAUGUGCUUGUUUUCUGGAAAGUGGUUUCCGAGAAAUUACUUUCCAAACUUUCUUGUGUUUGUUUGCCAGUAGAAAAGUUGGUCAAUGAAAAAUACUUUCCAGUAAAAGGAAAAUUUGGCUUGGUUUUCAGAAAAGUGUUUUCCUGAAAAAUUUAAGGGGAAAACACUUUCCGGAAGUUGUGAAAAAUUUAGAAAUGUCAUUAUUUUCUGAUUAUAUCAAAUUUGAUCCUCAAACUUUUGAUUGCUAUAUAUAUUUUGUUUUGAAUAUUUAUUUUUCAAUUUCAUCUCUUAAAAUGUUAUUUUUAUAUUAGCGUUGGUCCUUAUUUUUAUAGUUGCUAUUUGCUUUUUCCUUAUUAUUUUUUUAUUGAAAUUUUUUAUUUAUCAAAUUUGAUCCUCAUUCUUUUUAUUGUUACUUAUUUUAUUUGAAAUAAUUUAUGAAAUGUUGAUUAUUAUUAUUUUAAUUUCUUCAUUUUUUUUUUUUAGAUUUGAUCCCUAUUAUUUUGAUUAUUAUUUAUUUUAUUUGAGAUAAUUUAUGAAAUUAUAUUUUUUUUUUCAAUUUCAUUCUCAUUCAACUUUUUAAUUUGUAAGAUUUGUUCCUCAUUAUUUUAAUAAACUUGAGAAAAAUAAAAUAUUAAUAAGUUAUUUUCUAGCUCAUUUUCCAUGACAUAACCAAACACUGGAAAGUGUUUUCCAACUCAUUUUCCAUUACACUACCAAACAUCGGAAAAUACUUUAUCGGAAUUCACUUUCUCCGGAAUUCACUUUUCAAAAGGAAAACUUUCCAGCAAACAAACGGAGCCUAAGUACUAUUUAUUGAAACAAAGUAAUGAUAUUUUGCUUUUCUUGUAAAAGAAUUUGAACAAGUUAUUUAAGAUAGUUUCACAAGUUUCAUUUGUUAUUAUCGGGUCAAAUUAAUAAGUGUUUUUGCAUUUUAAAAUUAUAGUGAAAUAAUUAAAAUAUUCUUAUAUGUAAAAAAUUAUAAAUUGAUGUCCAAGAACUUUUUAGUAUUUUCACAUUAGUUUUUUCGUUAUUAUUAGGUUAGUUGAAGGAAAAUUUGGUAUUUUAAUAAAUAUAAAAUAUUAUUUAAAAACAAAAAACGGCUAGCCUAUGUAAUGCUUGUGCUAGCGUAUGGGUGGUGCUAGCUCCAUUCGGGUGGCAUCUCUCGACGACCGAACACUAGCUUUUGCCAUGUUAUUAAUUGAAAGCAUUGCAAUAUAAUCUUCCUUUAAGAACGGCACGUUGUGUUAUUGGGGUGGUUAUGUGAUGUUGGUGACCUUUUUUUCUUCUCAUCCCACUUUAGUCUUUCCUCCUUUUAAAAAUCAUGUUGGUCAUGUGAAAUUUUAAAGUUGUCCUUUAAUUUAUUGAGAUGUCAAAUUCAUUAUUAUUUUUUUUGAUAUUUUUUUUUUUGUUCUUGGUUAUUUUGUGAAAUUUUUAGUUAUUUUUAAUUUUAUCCUUCAAUCUCAAUUUGUGAUACAUUAUAUUUUUUUCAAUUUAGUCCUUAUUCUUUUGAUAUUUUUAUUUUUUGAGUCCUUUUAUAAAAUUGAAUUUUCUUUUCAAUUUCAUCCUUCAAUUAAAAAUAAAAUUUAUUUUUUAUUUUAAUUUUAAUUUGCAUUCCUUCAAGUACCCUUUUUUUUAAUCUCUCUGUAUAAUUGAUUUUUCUUUUUUUCAUUUUUAAAUUUUAUCAAAAACGCACGCGAUUCGUUGUUGUCAAACUAUCUAGUGCUAAGAAUUCGAAAGUCAAGUACCCUGCAAUAUGAAAGAACUCUGAAAACACACACCAGAGACAUGCAUGUUCUGCUUUAUAUAUAACCAAAGUCGUUACAAGAAAGAAGAGAAAGUGCUUAUCUAUUUGUUACAAGAGAUACAAAUUACAUGAGAUUUAAAUACAAGAUAAAAUGCCCUCCCGUUUGCAAGCUAUCCAGUUUGAACUGGAUGUGAUCCUAUUCUCUACCCAUAAAAAUAAUACUGAAUUUAAAGGGAUUUGCAGUCAGGACAGACAAUAAUGAUUUUCCAGCUGCAAGCAUCAAUCUAUAGGAAAAACCUAAUUGAUAAUAAUAAAAAAAGGCUUGGAAUGUGAUGAUGGUUAGGAAAAAUCCAGUACGUUCGUGCACCGUGAUUGUCAGCAUGAAUGUAAAUGCUAAACCCAUGCAGAAAAGGGAGUAGAAAUUAAAAUAUGUCGCCAUCUCCAUGCAUAUUGUUACAUAAUUGGUACCACCUAAUGAUAUCUGACAAAGGAUUAUAGCGGCGAUGAGGGAGAGAUUCAUAGCUAGCAUGUCGAAAAAAACAUAAGCUCUCAUCAGAUUUUUUGAACUACCACUGCUAAGAUCACGACCUGAUCCAGGCACAGUGAUAGCACCAGCGAAGGUUACUCCAACUACCAGUACUGCCACCACGAGAAGAUUCCCUACCCCUCUGUUCAGUUGCUCCGUCGUUAACGUCGUUCUUGGUAAAUCAAAGAUAGGACUGAUGCAAGGCUCAGGCAUAUCAUCUGCCUCCUCCAAAACUUUAAAUACCUUACGCUGAACAACAAAGUGUUUAUUAGAAAAUAUAUGGUAAACAAAUUAAUUAUAUAAAGCAUCAUGACAAUGCUAGCUUAAUGUCCCAUAAUAACGAAGAAGGAAUUCAUCGCUAUAUAUUUAGUAGAUCAGCGAGGCAUUCCAUAUUUUUGAGCAAGUAAAGAACUUUAUUUCCACUUUGGAUUAAUCAAAUUUAAGGUAAUUGAAAGAAAUCUAUCAUUCCCUUUUCUAUAAAGUUGCAACAUGGACAGAAUGUGGAUGUGAAAGUUUUUGCUAUACUAGAAUGUAUUUACUUCAAUCACCUGAUUAGCUUCUUACGUGGACCAAAGCAACUAGAAUAUAAUUUGACUUGGAUGCGAAUGGUUCUUUAAAUGGCUAACCAAAACCCUCUGGUAUUGAUGAAUAUAACAGAAUUAAAUGUGACUGAGGUUUUGACAAUUAAAAAAUCUUUUUAAAUGAGUAUUGAUUGUUCCUAUGCAAUUACUAGAAGCUGGAUUGUGGAGUAUAAUGCCAUUACUAGAAGCUUAUUGGCUAUAAGAGAUAAUUAAUGAAGUUAUCUUUAUUGGCAUAUGGAAAAAACUAGAGAGUAUUUAUGC
RNAcentral lists this long non-coding RNA (19191 nucleotides) under Populus tremula. RNAcentral's name for it is "long non-coding RNA (PTRE_LNC001527)". Lineage: Eukaryota; Viridiplantae; Streptophyta; Magnoliopsida; Malpighiales; Salicaceae. The record is from RNAcentral.